Molecule: ribosomal RNA, 253 nt
Filed under: uncultured bacterium
Lineage: Bacteria
Description: partial 16S ribosomal RNA
Rfam family: Bacterial small subunit ribosomal RNA
Source: RNAcentral
UACGUAGGGUCCAAGCGUUAUCCGGAAUCACUGGGCGUAAAGCGUGCGUAGGUGGUCUGUUAAGUGAGAUGUGAAACCGUGGGGCUCAACCCUGUCGUUGUGUCUCAUACUGGCAGACUAGAGGACGGCAGAGGCAAGUGGAACUCGUAGUGUAGCAGUGAAAUGCGUAGAUAUUACGAAGAACACCAAUGGCGAAGGCAGCUUGCUGGGCCACUCCUGACACUGAGGUACGAAAGCGUGGGGAGCGAACAGG